AUUGAACGCUGGCGGCAUGCCUUACACAUGCAAGUCGAACGGUAACGGGCCUUCGGGUGCCGACGAGUGGCGCACGGGCGGGUAAUACAUCGGAACGUGCCCGAUCGUGGGGGAUAACGUGGCGAAAGCUUUGCUAAUACCGCAUACGAUCUACGGAUGAAAGCAGGGGACCGCAAGGCCUUGCGCGGACGGAGCGGCCGAUGGCAGAUUAGGUAGUUGGUGGGAUAAAAGCUUACCAAGCCGACGAUCUGUAGCUGGUCUGAGAGGCUGAUCAGCCACACUGGGACUGAGACACGGCCCAGACUCCUACGGGAGGCAGCAGUGGGGAAUUUUGGACAAUGGGCGCAAGCCUGAUCCAGCCAUGCCGCGUGCAGGAUGAAGGCCUUCGGGUUGUAAACUGCUUUUGUACGGAACGAAAAGCCUUCUUUUAAUACAGGAGGGUCAUGACGGUACCGUAAGAAUAAGCACCGGCUAACUACGUG
RNAcentral lists this ribosomal RNA (482 nucleotides) under uncultured bacterium. Its description in RNAcentral is "partial 16S ribosomal RNA". It matches the Rfam family "Bacterial small subunit ribosomal RNA", at positions 30 to 507 of the family's 1533-position model. The record is from RNAcentral.